This 562-nucleotide ribosomal RNA is filed under the name uncultured fungus. RNAcentral's name for it is "partial 18S ribosomal RNA". The record is from RNAcentral. Lineage: Eukaryota; Fungi.
UCCUCCGCUUAUUGAUAUGCUUAAGUUCAGCGGGUAUUCCUACCUGAUCCGAGGUCAACAUUCAGAAGUUGGGGGUUUAACGGCUUGGCCGCGCCGCGUUCCAGUUGCGAGGGUUUUACUACUACGCAAUGGAGGCUGCAGCGAGACCGCCACUAGAUUUCGGGGCCGGCUUGCCAGAAAGGCUCGCCGAUCCCCAACACCAAACCCGAGGGCUUGAGGGUUGAAAUGACGCUCGAACAGGCAUGCCCGCCAGAAUACUGGCGGGCGCAAUGUGCGUUCAAAGAUUCGAUGAUUCACUGAAUUCUGCAAUUCACAUUACUUAUCGCAUUUUGCUGCGUUCUUCAUCGAUGCCAGAACCAAGAGAUCCGUUGUUGAAAGUUUUGAUUUAUUUAUGGUUUUACUCAGAAGUUACAUAUAGAAACAGAGUUUAGGGGUCCUCUGGCGGGCCGUCCCGUUUUACCGGGAGCGGGCUGAUCCGCCGAGGCAACAGUAAGGUAUGUUCACAGGGGUUUGGGAGUUGUAAACUCGGUAAUGAUCCCUCCGCAGGUUCACCUACGGAAAU